GUCAUCCUAGGGCACGCUCUGCCUCUGAGGCUUGCCAGCUGGGCUCCCCGAGCCGGGGUGCCUGUCUGCGUCCCCCCUUCCCCAGGCAGGCAGGACCCCGGGCGGGGGUGGUGGCAGGGCCCACCCCUGUUCCUGGAGAGAGGCACCAUGCCAGGCGGCCCAGAGCCCCCUGGGCAGGAGAGCCGGACUGUCCAGACAGGAGGAGCCUGGGGACAGCGGGGCCGCCGCAGAGGCUGGGAGGGGCUGGCUCUGGCGGCAGCCGUGUCACUAACGCCUUCCUUGUCCUCAUCAGCGGUUCGUUCUUUAAAACCAGUACGUACACGUGUUUUCUCAGUCCGGCAGUGCCAAAGGCUGUAUGCGAGCCGUGAGCCUCCCGUUCACCAGCGGGGGGCCUUGGGCCCCCUGCCCUGCACCCCGCCGUGCCCAGGCCCCCCCGGAGCCUGUGGGGUGUGUGUCCCUCUGCCCACACCACAGGGACAGCUCCCGUCUGCGCCUGCAGCCAGCCCCGGCCCCGGGUUACUUCGAGGUCUGCUGAACGAGCGCAAGGAGUCUCUGCACAGGAGGUCGGAGCGCGUCUGCCCGCCUGGCCAAGGGGGCUGAGCCUCCAAAUCCCUCCUGGCCCGACAGCGACCACGGCGAAGGGGCUACCGUGCCAGGUUAAAAAUAGCCCCAAGCCUGAGCGCCGAGAAGCCACCGCCAGAGAGCAGGGCUCAGCCGCUCUGCCCGCUCAGGGAGAACCAGCGAGAACCAGGGAGAAGGUUCCCGGCCACCCGCCGCGCGCCUUCGCUCGCACCCCGCUCAGACCGGGGCCAGGAGCCACCCCAGGCCACGUCCCAGGCCGGGCUUGCAGCCACGCCCCCGCCGCCCCUGCACGGAAGGGCCAGAGAAGCACAGCGAAGUCCUCAAGGGAAGGAUGACCAGAGCCCGGGAGGGGCAGGGGAGUGGCCGCCCUCUGCUGCGGGAGCUGCGGCCCUGCGCCCCGCCCUUCCAUCCUCCUCAAGGUCACAACCAGUUCCGGGCCAGUGUGGCCUGCAACCCAGGUAGCCGCCAGCUCUCCCACUCAACGGCGGCCAUCACCCCGAUGGCGGUCCGGGAGGAGCCAGGC
Mustela erminea (ermine) is the source of this 1105-nucleotide long non-coding RNA. RefSeq lists it as uncharacterized. The transcript has 3 exons. NCBI's taxonomy places the organism in Eukaryota, Metazoa, Chordata, Mammalia, Carnivora, Mustelidae. The record is from RefSeq and is a predicted model, not a curated record.